RNAcentral lists this ribosomal RNA (602 nucleotides) under uncultured Candidatus Saccharibacteria bacterium. RNAcentral's name for it is "bacterial SSU rRNA". It matches the Rfam family "Bacterial small subunit ribosomal RNA", at positions 68 to 702 of the family's 1533-position model. The record is from RNAcentral. Lineage: Bacteria; Candidatus Saccharimonadota.
GAUUGAAUACGGAGUGUAGAAUACACGAGCGGCGGACGGGUGAGUAACGCGUAAGAAUGUACCCCAAAGUGAGGGAUAAGCACCAGAAAUGGUGUCUAAUACCGCAUGUGCUCUUCGGAGUAAAGCUUUAUGCGCUUUGGGAACAGCUUGCGUCUGAUUAGCUAGUUGGUAAGGUAACGGCUUACCAAGGCGACGAUCAGUAGCUGGUCUGAGAGGAUGACCAGCCACACUGGGACUGAGACACGGCCCAGACUCCUACGGGAGGCAGCAGUAGGGAAUUUUCCACAAUGGACGAGAGUCUGAUGGAGCAACGCCGCGUGAUGGAUGAAGGCCUUAGGGUCGUAAACAUCUUUUAUCUGUGACGAAUAUGACGGUAGCAGAUGAAUAAGGGUCGGCUAACUACGUGCCAGCAGCCGCGGUCAUACGUAGGACCCAAGCGUUAUCCGGAUUUACUGGGCGUAAAGAGUUGCGUAGGUGGCAGAGUAAGUAAAUAGUGAAAUCGUACGGCUCAACCGUAUAUCCAUUAUUUAAACUGCUCAGCUUGAGAGUGAGAGAGGUAGAUGGAAUUGCUAGUGUAGGAGUGAAAUCCGUAGAUAUUAGCA